Molecule: small nuclear RNA, 106 nt
Organism: Mauremys reevesii (Reeves's turtle)
Lineage: Eukaryota; Metazoa; Chordata; Testudines; Geoemydidae
Source: RefSeq, a predicted model, not a curated record
GCUUGCUUCAGCAGGACAUAUACUAAAAUUGGAAUGAUACAGAGAAGAGUAGCAUGGCCCCUGCGCAAGGAUGACACACAAAAUUCAUGAAGCACUCCCUGCUUGG